Hemibagrus wyckioides is the source of this 837-nucleotide long non-coding RNA. RefSeq lists it as uncharacterized. The transcript has 5 exons. NCBI's taxonomy places the organism in Eukaryota, Metazoa, Chordata, Actinopteri, Siluriformes, Bagridae. The record is from RefSeq and is a predicted model, not a curated record.
CUGGAAGGUCAGGUGUCAGAAAUAUACUUGUGAAUCAAAAGCUCAGAAAUUUCUUGCUUGUUCCUCAUAUUUAGUGAGACAAUCGUGGGCAGGAUAGAGCCAAGCCAUAGCAAAUCUAACAGUAUCGGAACUGGAAGCGAAGACUUAUUUUGAAAGUGACACCAAAGGGAUACCAACUGAAUCUGCCUUAGCAUUAUGGCUAAUAAAGAGAAAAUAUCAAAAUAUGAUUUGCUGGGGUUUGUUGCCAUCCUGGUGAUUCAUAUGCAAGUAGUGAACUCACAAAUGCUCCCUGAAAUUUCAGACAUAAUUGUACAGGUUAGCUGCCCAGAGGAACAAAUGCCUCACAUAAGAGAAAUCCGAGAAGGUAAACAAUCAUUUAAAUGAGAUUUUUAUGUUUAAAAACAAAUCUUUAUCUCUUUGACUGUUUUUUCACAGUAUUGCGAAAAGUAUUUAUUGUGUAAUUUUAUUUACCUUUAUAUCAAUUCAUCUUCCUAGGCUUGAUUGUGUGAAUGAAACAAUCCACGAAUUAUAUUAUGUUUUAUUUUUCAUUAUUAUUUUUUCAAGGCACCCAUGUACUAAGCCUCUCACUGAAACUAAAUGAAGAUUUUGACUUUGCCCUCUGCAAUAAAGUAGUAUAAUAUACCAAACUUAUGAAAAAAAAAAAAAGAGUUCAGUAAGUAUUGCACAGUAUAUAAUAUUUAAUCAUCAAAUACAUUCAACAGUACAAUUGUUGGCUGAACUGGAAUAAAACGAAGGCCCUCCUGGCAUUUGUGAUUCCUGCUCUGACGAUUGUAGCUAUAAACCUCCUGCUGCUUAUUGUGAUUCUGUGCAAGAUGU